CAUAGAAAAUUAACACCAUGUGAAGGUGAAGGCAGAGACUGGGUGAUGCUUCUAUAAACCAAGAAACUCCAAGGACUGUCAGCAAACCAGCAGAAGCUAGGAGAGAGGCAUGGAACGGAUUUCUCCUCACAGCCCUCAGAAGAAACCAACCCUGUCACCAUUUUGAUCUUGGACUUUAGCCUCUGGAACUGUGAGACAAUACAUUUCUGUUUGUUUCAGCCACCUAGUUCAUAGUACUUUGAAGUGACCUUUACACCACUCUCACUUAGAGAUGAGGUCUGUGUCCCCUCCUCUUGAAAUUGAGUGGCUUUUGUGACUGUGUACACAGGUAGAGUAAACUGCAGAGCUGCCUGUCUGUGACUUCCAAGGCUAGGUCAUAAAAGGAGAUAAAGCUUCUUCCUGGCUGGUUGGGCUGCUUGCUCUUGAAGCCUUCAGUCUCUAUGCACGCAGCAUGCCUUCCCAGCCUCCUGUGGUUGUAGAGUGUAUAGAAGGCAGUUGGAUCACUAUGGACAGCGGGUAAGAGCUGAGGAAGCAGCCUCCGCCAGGUGGUAACAUGGAGGACCCUGAAGCAGGCCAAUUAAAUCAAGCAUAUUCCUCAGUAUCAUGGAGAGACUGGAGGUUAGAGACACCAAAACCAUCCCUGGCUUAAUGACUUUGGGAUCCCUGGGCCCCUCCAUGCAGCAGAACGGCAAUUAACCAAGCAAAGGAAGAGAGGGCAGCAGGGCUGAAUCCUGUCAUGGAAUGCUUCCAUCUGCAAGUGGCACAUUUCAGUGGCCAAAGCAAAUUAUGCCAUCCCUGACUUCAAGACCAUUGGCCAUUCUCUGACCAUCUCAAGCCAGAGGUGACUUGAUCUGUCACCCAGCUGUGGCCCAUGAGCAUUAUCUAAGGAGGAACAUUUUUGCUUACGUUUCCAGUGCUCUACAUAAGCCCUAGGCCCUGGGUAUAUGCAUAGGAGCGAAAUUACUGAAUAACUUACGUGAAACAUUUUGACGAACUGUCAUAUUGUUACCCAAAGUGAUUGCACUGUUUUACAAAUCAUAUUGGCAAGGUAGGAGGGUUCUAAUUUCUCCUCAUCCUCACCAGCACUCGUUAUUGCUUGUCUUUUGAAAUUACAGCCAUCCUAAUCGU
Molecule: long non-coding RNA, 1128 nt
Filed under: Homo sapiens (human)
Lineage: Eukaryota; Metazoa; Chordata; Mammalia; Primates; Hominidae
Description: HSALNT0291332
Source: RNAcentral